GAUGAACGCUGGCGGCGUGCUUAACACAUGCAAGUCGAACGAAGCACUUUAUUUGAUUUCCUUCGGGACUGAUUAUUUUGUGACUGAGUGGCGGACGGGUGAGUAACGCGUGGGUAACCUGCCUUGUACAGGGGGCUAACAGUUGGAAACGGAUGCUAAUACCGCAUAAGCGCACAGCAUCGCAUGAUGCAGUGUGAAAAAUUCUGGUGGUAUAAGAUGGACCCGCGUUGGAUUAGCUAGUUGGUGAGGUAACGGCCCACCAAGGCGACGAUCCAUAGCCGAGCUGAGAGGGUGACCGGCCACAUUGGGACUGAGACACAGCCCGAACUCCUACGGGAGGCAGCAGUGGGGAAUAGUGCACAAUGGGCGAAAGCCUGAUGCAGCGACGCCGCGUGAGCGAAGAAGUAUUUCGGUAUGUAAAGCUCUAGCAGCAGGGAAGAUAAUGACGGUACCUGACUAAGAAGCACCGGCUAAAUACGUG
RNAcentral lists this ribosomal RNA (481 nucleotides) under uncultured bacterium. Its description in RNAcentral is "partial 16S ribosomal RNA". It matches the Rfam family "Bacterial small subunit ribosomal RNA", at positions 28 to 507 of the family's 1533-position model. The record is from RNAcentral.